Molecule: unclassified non-coding RNA, 213 nt
Filed under: Hevea brasiliensis (rubber tree)
Lineage: Eukaryota; Viridiplantae; Streptophyta; Magnoliopsida; Malpighiales; Euphorbiaceae
Source: RNAcentral
CAAAAAUUCAACAUUCAUAUCACAAAAUUCAGCCAUGUUUGUUAAUCUCACACAUCUUCAUCAAAAACCCAUCUGAAAACCCCCAAAAAAUCCGACCCGUUUUACCCAUUUUCAGCCAUGUUUAGCUAUCUAAUACUCUAUCAAAAACCCAUCUGAAAACCAGAAAUUGUUCAGACCCAUUUGCCCAUUUCAUAGAUAAACCCGACCCAUUUG